Molecule: ribosomal RNA, 253 nt
Filed under: uncultured bacterium
Lineage: Bacteria
Description: partial 16S ribosomal RNA
Rfam family: Bacterial small subunit ribosomal RNA
Source: RNAcentral
UACGGGGGGGGCAAGCGUUGUUCGGAAUUACUGGGCGUAAAGGGCUCGUAGGCGGCCAACUAAGUCAUACGUGAAAUCCCUCGGCUUAACCGGGGAACUGCGUCUGAUACUGGAUGGCUUGAGAUUGGGAGAGGGAUGCGGAAUUCCAGGUGUAGCGGUGAAAUGCGUAGAUAUCUGGAGGAACACCGGUGGCGAAGGCGGCAUCCUGGACCGGCAUUGACGCUGAUGAGCGAAAGCUAGGGGAGCAAACGGG